Molecule: ribosomal RNA, 531 nt
Filed under: Aspergillus sp. SN2
Lineage: Eukaryota; Fungi; Ascomycota; Eurotiomycetes; Eurotiales; Aspergillaceae
Description: eukaryotic LSU rRNA
Source: RNAcentral
UCUGGGUCCACCUCCCACCCGUGUCUAUCGUACCUUGUUGCUUCGGCGGGCCCGCCGUUUCGACGGCCGCCGGGGAGGCCUUGCGCCCCCGGGCCCGCGCCCGCCGAAGACCCCAACAUGAACGCUGUUCUGAAAGUAUGCAGUCUGAGUUGAUUAUCGUAAUCAGUUAAAACUUUCAACAACGGAUCUCUUGGUUCCGGCAUCKAUGAAGAACGCAGCGAAAUGCGAUAAGUAAUGUGAAUUGCAGAAUUCAGUGAAUCAUCGAGUCUUUGAACGCACAUUGCGCCCCCUGGUAUUCCGGGGGGCAUGCCUGUCCGAGCGUCAUUGCUGCCCUCAAGCACGGCUUGUGUGUUGGGCCCCCGUCCCCCUCUCCCGGGGGACGGGCCCGAAAGGCAGCGGCGGCACCGCGUCCGGUCCUCGAGCGUAUGGGGCUUUGUCACCUGCUCUGUAGGCCCGGCCGGCRCCAGCCGACACCCAACUUUAUUUUUCUAAGGUUGACCWCGGAUCAGGUAGGGAUACCCGCUGAACUUA